AUUGAACGCUGGCGGCAUGCCUAACACAUGCAAGUCGAACGGCAGCACGGUGUGUAGCAAUACACAUGGGUGGCGAGUGGCGGACGGGUGAGUAUAAAGUAGGAAUCUGCCUUAUAGACGGGAGUAACUUGGGGAAACUCGAGCUAAUACCGGAUAAGCACUACGGUGGAAAGUAUGGGACCGCAAGGCCAUACGCUAUAAGAUGAGCCUACGUCGGAUUAGUUAGUUGGUUAGGUAAAGGCUGACCAAGACGAAGAUCCGUAGCUGGUCUGAGAGGAUGGUCAGCCACACUGGGACUGAGACACGGCCCCAGACUCCUACGGGAGGCAGCAGUGGGGAAUAUUGGACAAUGGGCAACCGUGCAUCCAGCGAUGCCGCGUGUGCGAAGAAGGCCCUGCGGGGUUGUAAAAGCACUUUUAGUUGGGGAAGAAUGAGCGUAAUUCGAAUAGAGUUACGCAGUGACGUUACCCAAAGAAUAAGCACCGGCUAACUCUGUGCCAGCAGCCGCGGUAAUACAGAGGGUGCGAGCGUUAAUCGGAAUUACUGGGCGUAAAGGGCGCGUAGGCGGUUGUGUAAGUUAGAUGUGAAAUCCCGGCGUUAACCUGGGAAUGGCAUUUAAUACUGUAUGACUAGAGUAGAGUAGAGGGAAGUGGAAUUUCCGGUGUAGCGGUGAAUGCGUAGAUAUCGGAAAGAACACCAGUGGCGAAGGCGGCUUCCUGGACUCAUACUGACGUUGAGGCGCGAAAGCGU
RNAcentral lists this ribosomal RNA (750 nucleotides) under uncultured bacterium. RNAcentral describes it as "bacterial SSU rRNA". It matches the Rfam family "Bacterial small subunit ribosomal RNA", at positions 28 to 762 of the family's 1533-position model. The record is from RNAcentral.